ACAUUGGUAGAUCAAUGGUAGAAACCUUACCUCCCAUGCAAGAGACCCAGGUUCAAUUCCUGGCCAAGGUA
RNAcentral lists this transfer RNA (71 nucleotides) under Loxodonta africana (African savanna elephant). It matches the Rfam family "tRNA". From Rfam's summary of the family: Transfer RNA (tRNA) molecules are approximately 80 nucleotides in length. Lineage: Eukaryota; Metazoa; Chordata; Mammalia; Proboscidea; Elephantidae. The record is from Rfam by way of RNAcentral.